Paramormyrops kingsleyae is the source of this 256-nucleotide long non-coding RNA. RefSeq lists it as uncharacterized. The record is from RefSeq and is a predicted model, not a curated record. Lineage: Eukaryota; Metazoa; Chordata; Actinopteri; Osteoglossiformes; Mormyridae.
AGAUCUUUUAGGUUAUCAGCAGAAAACAAGCAGCAGUGUUCCAGUUGAAUGGCGACCCCGAGACUUUCCUGCCCCCUCGAUCUCCCAUGCACGUCGCCCGACCCCUGCCUGUUUCUGAAUGCUGAAUUCAGCUAAAGGUAGUGGGAAUGCUCACAGCCAUUCAUCAAGAACCAGAGCAGACUCCAGAUUCCCUGCACUCUGAAUCUACAGGAGUGAUCGUUCUGGAGGGAGGUGUUGUGUCUGCUGUUCUGCCAAA